UAAACAGUACGAUCAAAUGGCUUUAAGUAUUUAAAAAUUUCUUUUUUCAUACUAUGACAACCUGGGACUCGUGCAAUUAAAAACGUCAGGGGCAAGUGCAAUUUAAAUGUAAUAGUGUUACGACUUGUGGCAAGUGCAAUGUUCAUCAAUCGAUGCAAUAAACCAAAUAUUUAUUAUAUAAAUUCAUUAGAUUUUCCAGUGCAUAUACAUAUCUAUGUUAGUUUGAAGAUUAGUGCAGUAUUUUCUCCCUUUACCCUAUCUUACUGUACCAUGCGUUCUGUCAUACGUAACCAAAUCAAUGAAAACCAGAGUUGGUUGAUGGCCUCCCUUGUCUGUACGUAUGUGCGUAUGUACGUAUGUACGUAAGUGUGUUUUUGUUUUGUUUUCGUUAUUCUUAUUCCGGACAACCAAGGCUUGGUUUAUUCUUCUUUUCUUUGUCUAUGCUUAAUAGAUGGACAAAUUUUCAAAUAUAUAAAUAUAAAAUGUGCAACAAGAAAUUUAUCAAAAAAAAAGCCGGGAGCAGUGCAAUAACAAGGCCACAAGGCUACUGUGCCUUAGUUAAUAUAAUUGCAAUAUAAUUGGAAUUCGGUAAUUAUGAUUGUCUAUUGCUACAAAGGCGCUGCUAUAAUAAUAAGCACAGUGGUGAUUCUACUAUUUAAGUGGGAAGUUGGCACUAAUCUUCAAAUUGUUGUUGGGAUAUGUGCAAUUAUUCUUCUUUCUGGACUGCAGGUCCAACCAACGCAAUAACCGGUGUGUUCGUGUUAAAAAAUUUGUGCAAUAUGUUUAGAACGUAGUACAAUUUUUUCAAUUUAGUGCAAUAAUGCGAUAUUUUAAUAUCGUACGAUAUUAUCAAUCCGUGCAAUAAGCUCGAUAUUUAAUUAAUUAGAAUUAUGGGCAGUAAUUUUUAGCUGAAAUAAGUGCAAUACAUCUGUGUCUGUGUGUGCAAUAUUCUUUACGGUCUUUAAGGCUUUUAAUGUGCAAUAAAUAAUUUCUCUGUA
Stomoxys calcitrans (stable fly) is the source of this 998-nucleotide long non-coding RNA. RefSeq lists it as uncharacterized. The transcript has 2 exons. The record is from RefSeq and is a predicted model, not a curated record. Lineage: Eukaryota; Metazoa; Arthropoda; Insecta; Diptera; Muscidae.